UGGGGAAUUUUGCACAAUGGGGGAAACCCUGAUGCAGCGACGCCGCGUGAUUUAGAAGGCCUUCGGGUUGUAAAAAUCUUUUCUAUGGGAAGAAAAUGACAGUACCAUAGGAAUAAGGACCGGCUAAUUACGUGCCAGCAGCCGCGGUAAUACGUAAGGUCCGAGCGUUGUCCGGAAUCAUUGGGCGUAAAGGGUACGUAGGCGGGUAAGCAAGUUAGAAGUGAAAUCCUAUAGCUCAACUAUAGUAAGCUUUUAAAACUGCUCAUCUUGAGGUAUGGAAGGGAAAGUGGAAUUCCUAGUGUAGCGGUGAAAUGCGCAGAUAUUAGGAGGCAUACCGGUGGCGAAGGCGACUUUCUGGCCAUAACCUGACGCUGAGGUACGAAAGCGUGGGUAGCAAACAGG
Molecule: ribosomal RNA, 402 nt
Filed under: bacterium
Lineage: Bacteria
Also listed under: 1 other name
Description: partial 16S ribosomal RNA
Rfam family: Bacterial small subunit ribosomal RNA
Source: RNAcentral